RNAcentral lists this ribosomal RNA (253 nucleotides) under uncultured bacterium. RNAcentral describes it as "partial 16S ribosomal RNA". It matches the Rfam family "Bacterial small subunit ribosomal RNA", at positions 524 to 776 of the family's 1533-position model. The record is from RNAcentral.
UACGUAGGGUGCGAGCGUUGUCCGGAAUUAUUGGGCGUAAGGAGCUCGUAGGCGGCCCGUUGCGUCGGUUGUGAAAGCCCGGGGCUUAACCCCGGGUCUGCAGUCGAUACGGGCAGGCUAGAGUUCGGUAGGGGAGAUCGGAAUUCCUGGUGUAGCGGUGAAAUGCGCAGAUAUCAGGAGGAACACCGGUGGCGAAGGCGGAUCUCCGGGCCGAUACUGACGCUGAGGAGCGAAAGCGUGGGGAGCGAACAGG